This 253-nucleotide ribosomal RNA is filed under the name uncultured bacterium. RNAcentral describes it as "partial 16S ribosomal RNA". It matches the Rfam family "Bacterial small subunit ribosomal RNA", at positions 524 to 776 of the family's 1533-position model. The record is from RNAcentral.
UACGUAGGGUGCGAGCGUUGCCCGGAUUUAUUGGGCGUAAAGGGCGCGUAGGCGGCCACGCACGUCCGUUGUGAAAUCGCCCGGCUCAACUGGGCGAGGUCGGCGGAUACGGCGUGGCUGGAGCAAGCUAGGGGGCAAUGGAAUUCCCGGUGUAGUGGUGGAAUGCGUAGAUAUCGGGAGGAACACCAGUGGCGAAGGCGGUUGCCUGGAGCUUUGCUGACGCUGAGGCGCGAAAGCGUGGGGAGCGAUCCGG